RNAcentral lists this ribosomal RNA (482 nucleotides) under Staphylococcus cohnii. RNAcentral's name for it is "bacterial SSU rRNA". It matches the Rfam family "Bacterial small subunit ribosomal RNA", at positions 10 to 474 of the family's 1533-position model. The record is from RNAcentral. Lineage: Bacteria; Bacillati; Bacillota; Bacilli; Caryophanales; Staphylococcaceae.
AGUUUGAUCCUGGCUCAGGAUGAACGCUGGCGGCGUGCCUAAUACAUGCAAGUCGAGCGAACAGAUAAGGAGCUUGCUCCUUUGACGUUAGCGGCGGACGGGUGAGUAACACGUGGGUAACCUACCUAUAAGACUGGAAUAACUCCGGGAAACCGGGGCUAAUGCCGGAUAACAUUUAGAACCGCAUGGUUCUAAAGUGAAAGAUGGUUUUGCUAUCACUUAUAGAUGGACCCGCGCCGUAUUAGCUAGUUGGUAAGGUAACGGCUUACCAAGGCAACGAUACGUAGCCGACCUGAGAGGGUGAUCGGCCACACUGGAACUGAGACACGGUCCAGACUCCUACGGGAGGCAGCAGUAGGGAAUCUUCCGCAAUGGGCGAAAGCCUGACGGAGCAACGCCGCGUGAGUGAUGAAGGUCUUCGGAUCGUAAAACUCUGUUAUUAGGGAAGAACAAAUGUGUAAGUAACUAUGCACGUCUUGACG